Molecule: non-coding RNA, 21 nt
Filed under: Caenorhabditis elegans
Lineage: Eukaryota; Metazoa; Nematoda; Chromadorea; Rhabditida; Rhabditidae
Source: RNAcentral
UUUGUGCUUUUUCGAAAUUUU